This 69-nucleotide transfer RNA is filed under the name Pachydactylus mariquensis (Ceres thick-toed gecko). RNAcentral's name for it is "tRNA-Cys". Lineage: Eukaryota; Metazoa; Chordata; Lepidosauria; Squamata; Gekkonidae. The record is from RNAcentral.
CAAGCCCCGCGGNGGAAGCACANCGAAAUGCAAGUUCGGAUAAGCACCCCCAUAAGGGUGCCGGGGCUU